UCAGUAGCUCAGCAGGUAGAGCACAUCCCUUUUAAGGAUGGGGUCCUGGGUUCGAAUCCCAGCUGGGUC
This 69-nucleotide transfer RNA is filed under the name bioreactor metagenome. Its description in RNAcentral is "tRNA-Lys". It matches the Rfam family "tRNA", at positions 5 to 66 of the family's 71-position model. Rfam says of the family: Transfer RNA (tRNA) molecules are approximately 80 nucleotides in length. Their secondary structure includes four short double-helical elements and three loops (D, anti-codon, and T loops). Further hydrogen bonds mediate the characteristic L-shaped molecular structure. tRNAs have two regions of fundamental functional importance: the anti-codon, which is responsible for specific mRNA codon recognition, and the 3' end, to which the tRNAs corresponding amino acid is attached (by aminoacyl-tRNA synthetases). tRNAs cope with the degeneracy of the genetic code in two manners: having more than one tRNA (with a specific anti-codon) for a particular amino acid; and 'wobble' base-pairing, i.e. permitting non-standard base-pairing at the 3rd anti-codon position. The record is from RNAcentral.